GUCCAUGUAGCUCAGUAGGUAGAGCAGUAGACUGAAAAUCUGCGUGUCGAUGGUUCGAUUCCAUCCGUGGACA
RNAcentral lists this transfer RNA (73 nucleotides) under Siphoviridae sp. ctnPP24. RNAcentral describes it as "tRNA-Phe". It matches the Rfam family "tRNA". From Rfam's summary of the family: Transfer RNA (tRNA) molecules are approximately 80 nucleotides in length. Their secondary structure includes four short double-helical elements and three loops (D, anti-codon, and T loops). Lineage: Duplodnaviria; Heunggongvirae; Uroviricota; Caudoviricetes. The record is from RNAcentral.